This 630-nucleotide ribosomal RNA is filed under the name uncultured Alphaproteobacteria bacterium. Its description in RNAcentral is "bacterial SSU rRNA". It matches the Rfam family "Bacterial small subunit ribosomal RNA", at positions 58 to 732 of the family's 1533-position model. The record is from RNAcentral. Lineage: Bacteria; Pseudomonadati; Pseudomonadota; Alphaproteobacteria.
CAAGUCGAGCGGGUGUAGCAAUACACCAGCGGCAGACGGGAGAGUAACACGUGGGAACGUGCCCUUCAGUUCGGAACAACCCAGGGAAACUUGGGCUAAUACCGGAUACGUCCGUAAGGAGAAAGAUUUAUCGCUGAAGGAUCGGCCCGCGUCUGAUUAGCUUGUUGGUGAGGUAAUGGCUCACCAAGGCGACGAUCAGUAGCUGGUCUGAGAGGAUGAUCAGCCUCACUGGGACUGAGACACGGCCCAGACUCCUACGGGAGGCAGCAGUAGGGAAUAUUGGACAAUGGGCGCAAGCCUGAUCCAGCCAUGCCGCGUGGGUGAUGAAGGCCCUAGGGUUGUAAAGCCCUUUCGGCGGGGAAGAUAAUGACGGUACCCGCAGAAGAAGCCCCGGCUAACUUCGUGCCAGCAGCCGCGGUAAUACGAAGGGGGCUAGCGUUGCUCGGAAUCACUGGGCGUAAAGCGCACGUAGGCGGCUUUUUAAGUCAGGGGUGAAAUCCUGGAGCUCAACUCCAGAACUGCCUUUGAUACUGAGAAGCUUGAGUCCGGGAGAGGUGAGUGGAACUGCGAGUGUAGAGGUGAAAUUCGUAGAUAUUCGCAAGAACACCAGUGGCGAAGGCGGCUCACUGG